Molecule: ribosomal RNA, 255 nt
Filed under: uncultured bacterium
Lineage: Bacteria
Description: partial 16S ribosomal RNA
Rfam family: Bacterial small subunit ribosomal RNA
Source: RNAcentral
UACGUAGGCAGCAAGCGUUGUUCGGAGUUACUGGGCGUAAAGGGUGCGUAGGCGGCCCUGUAAGUAUGGUGUGAAAUCUCCCGGCUUAACUGGGAGGGUGCGCUAUAGACUGCGGGGCUCGAGUGUGGGAGAGGAAAGUGGAAUUCCUGGUGUAGCGGUGAAAUGCGUAGAUAUCAGGAGGAACACCGGUGGUGUAAACGGCUUUCUGGACCAUAACUGACGCUGGAGGCACGAAAGCCGUGGGUAGCAAACAGG